This 775-nucleotide ribosomal RNA is filed under the name uncultured bacterium. RNAcentral describes it as "bacterial SSU rRNA". It matches the Rfam family "Bacterial small subunit ribosomal RNA", at positions 59 to 825 of the family's 1533-position model. The record is from RNAcentral.
CAGUCGAACGGAGCCUUAACCAAAGAAGCAGCCAGCUUGCUGGAAGCCGUAAAGGGAAAGGCUUAGUGGCGGACGGGUGAGUAACGCGUGGGUAACCUGGCCCAUACAGGGGGAUAACACUUAGAAAUAGGUGCUAAUACCGCAUAACAACAGAAAGCGCAUGCUUUUUGUUUGAAAACCAAGGUGGUAUGGGAUGGACCCGCGUCUGAUUAGCUGGUUGGCGGGGUAAAGGCCCACCAAGGCGACGAUCAGUAGCCGGCCUGAGAGGGUGGACGGCCACAUUGGGACUGAGACACGGCCCAAACUCCUACGGGAGGCAGCAGUGGGAAUAUUGCACAAUGGGGGAAACCCUGAUGCAGCGACGCCGCGUGAGUGAAGAAGUAAUUCGUUAUGUAAAGCUCUAUCAGCAGGGAAGAAAAUGACGGUACCUGAGUAAGAAGCCCCGGCUAACUACGUGCCAGCAGCCGCGGUAAUACGUAGGGGGCAAGCGUUAUCCGGAUUUACUGGGUGUAAAGGGAGCGUAGACGGCAGUGCAAGUCUGGAGUGAAAGGCGGGGGCUCAACCCCCGGACUGCUCUGGAAACUGUACGGCUGGAGUGCAGGAGAGGUAAGUGGAAUUCCUAGUGUAGCGGUGAAAUGCGUAGAUAUUAGGAGGAACACCAGUGGCGAAGGCGGCUUACUGGACUGUAACUGACGUUGAGGCUCGAAAGCGUGGGGAGCAAACAGGAUUAGAUACCCUGGUAGUCCACGCCGUAAACGAUGAUCACUAGGUGUCG